UUGCAGGAUAGGUUACAGAUCAGCUUGUGCAGUACUGCUUUGUCAUCCCCCCUGCACAAACUUGUCUCCUGUACUAUCCUGGUCUGUCUGCAUCCCACGGCAGACAAGGAUGUUUGGUCUUAGACAU
Molecule: small nucleolar RNA, 127 nt
Filed under: Hucho hucho (huchen)
Lineage: Eukaryota; Metazoa; Chordata; Actinopteri; Salmoniformes; Salmonidae
Description: Small nucleolar RNA SNORA63 (ENSHHUG00000040847.1)
Source: RNAcentral